AGCAGCCGCGGUAAUUCCAGCUCCAAUAGCGUAUAUUAAAGUUGUUGCAGUUAAAAAGCUCGUAGUUGAAUUUCGGGGUUAGUAGGUUGGUCGUGCCUCUGGUAUGUACUGGUCUCACUGAUUCCUCCUUCCUGAUAAGCCGUAAUGCCAUUAAUUUGGUGUUGCGAGGAAUUUGGACUGUUACUUUGAAAAAUUAGAGUGUUUAAAGCAAGCUAACGCUUGAAUACAUUAGCAUGGAAUAAUGAAAUAGGACGUUCGAUCCUAUUUUGUUGGUUUCUAGGAUUGACGUAAUGAUUAAUAGGGAUAGUUGGGGGCAUUAGUAUUCAAUUGUCAGAGGUGAAAUUCUUGGAUUUAUUGAAGACUAACUACUGCGAAAGCAUUUGCCAAGGAUGUUUUCAUUAAUCAAGAACGAAAGUUAGGGGAUCGAAGACGAUCAGAUACCGUCGUAGUCUUAACCAUAAACUAUGCCGACUAGGGAUCGGAUGAUGUUAAUUUUUAAUGUACUCAUUCGGCGCCUUAC
Molecule: unclassified non-coding RNA, 520 nt
Filed under: uncultured Glomus
Lineage: Eukaryota; Fungi; Glomeromycota; Glomeromycetes; Glomerales; Glomeraceae
Description: SSU rRNA
Rfam family: Eukaryotic small subunit ribosomal RNA
Source: RNAcentral